Molecule: non-coding RNA, 101 nt
Organism: Dentipellis sp. KUC8613
Lineage: Eukaryota; Fungi; Basidiomycota; Agaricomycetes; Russulales; Hericiaceae
Source: the annotation of a GenBank genome assembly
GGCUCAGUGGUCUAGUAGCAUGAUACUUGCUUUGGGUAAAGAGUACGAAAUGGCUCUUCAUUAAUUGCAAGGGGUCUCGGGUUCAAUUCCCGACUGAGCCC